Pteropus vampyrus (large flying fox) is the source of this 121-nucleotide ribosomal RNA. The record is from Ensembl. NCBI's taxonomy places the organism in Eukaryota, Metazoa, Chordata, Mammalia, Chiroptera, Pteropodidae.
ACUUCUUGAAAUGACUAUGCAUUUUGUGCCUGAUCUUGUCUGAUCUUAGAAGCUAAGCAGGGUCAGGCCUGGUUAGUAUUUGAAUGGGAGGACCACUUAGGAAUACCAGGUGCUGUAGGUG